Molecule: ribosomal RNA, 464 nt
Filed under: uncultured bacterium
Lineage: Bacteria
Description: partial 16S ribosomal RNA
Rfam family: Bacterial small subunit ribosomal RNA
Source: RNAcentral
GACGAACGCUGGCGGCGUGCUUAACACAUGCAAGUCGAACGGAAAGGCCCUGCUUGCAGGGUACUCGAGUGGCGAACGGGUGAGUAACACGUGGGUGAUCUGCCCUGCACUUCGGGAUAAGCCUGGGAAACUGGGUCUAAUACCGGAUAGGAGCCAUUUUUAGUGUGAUGGUUGGAAAGUUUUUUCGGUGUAGGAUGAGCUCGCGGCCUAUCAGCUUGUUGGUGGGGUAAUGGCCUACCAAGGCGGCGACGGGUAGCCGGCCUGAGAGGGUGGACGGCCACAUUGGGACUGAGAUACGGCCCAGACUCCUACGGGAGGCAGCAGUGGGGAAUAUUGCACAAUGGGCGCAAGCCUGAUGCAGCGACGCCGCGUGGGGGAUGACGGCCUUCGGAUUGUAAACUCCUUUCGCUAGGGACGAAGCUUUUUGUGACGGUACCUAGAUAAGAAGCACCGGCUAACUACGU